RNAcentral lists this ribosomal RNA (497 nucleotides) under uncultured bacterium. Its description in RNAcentral is "partial 16S ribosomal RNA". It matches the Rfam family "Bacterial small subunit ribosomal RNA", at positions 28 to 507 of the family's 1533-position model. The record is from RNAcentral.
GAUGAACGCUGGCGGCGUGCCUAAUACAUGCAAGUCGAGCGAACGGACGAUAAGCUUGCUUCUCUGAUGUUAGCGGCGGACGGGUGAGUAACACGUGGAUAACCUACCUAUAAGACUGGGAUAACUUCGGGAAACCGGAGCUAAUACCGGAUAAUAUUUUGAACCGCAUGGUUCAAAAGUGAAAGACGGUCUUUCUGUCACUUAUAGAUGGAUCCGCGCUGCAUUAGCUAGUUGGUAAGGUAACGGCUUACCAAGGCAACGAUGCAUAGCCGACCUGAGAGGGUGAUCGGCCACACUAGAACUGAGACACGGUCCAGACUCCUACGGGAGGCAGCAGUAGGGAAUCUUCCGCAAUGGGGGAAAGCCUGACGGAGCAACGCCGCGUGAGUGAUGAAGGUCUUCGGAUCGUAAAACUCUGUUAUUAGGGAAGAACAUAUGUGUAAGUAACUGUGCACAUCUUGACGGUACCUAAUCAGAAAGCCACGGCUAACUACGUG